RNAcentral lists this transfer RNA (74 nucleotides) under Salmonella enterica subsp. enterica serovar Infantis. RNAcentral describes it as "tRNA-Ile". It matches the Rfam family "tRNA". From Rfam's summary of the family: Transfer RNA (tRNA) molecules are approximately 80 nucleotides in length. Their secondary structure includes four short double-helical elements and three loops (D, anti-codon, and T loops). Lineage: Bacteria; Pseudomonadati; Pseudomonadota; Gammaproteobacteria; Enterobacterales; Enterobacteriaceae. The record is from RNAcentral.
AGGCUUGUAGCUCAGGUGGUUAGAGCGCACCCCUGAUAAGGGUGAGGUCGGUGGUUCAAGUCCACUCAGGUUUC